GUGCUCAUUGGGUGGUAUACAUUCUAAAAUUGUAACAAUACAGAGAAGAUUAGCAUGGCUCUUGCACACUGAUAAUAUGCAAAAAUAAUAUUUACUUUUCUUUCUU
Small nuclear RNA from Ictidomys tridecemlineatus (thirteen-lined ground squirrel), 106 nucleotides. The record is from Ensembl. NCBI's taxonomy places the organism in Eukaryota, Metazoa, Chordata, Mammalia, Rodentia, Sciuridae.